This 433-nucleotide ribosomal RNA is filed under the name uncultured bacterium. Its description in RNAcentral is "partial 16S ribosomal RNA". It matches the Rfam family "Bacterial small subunit ribosomal RNA", at positions 29 to 507 of the family's 1533-position model. The record is from RNAcentral.
AACGAACGCUGGCGGCAUGCCUAACACAUGCAAGUCGAACGAGACCUUCGGGUCUAGUGGCGCACGGGUGCGUAACGCGUGGGAACCUGCCCUUAGGUUCGGAAUAACUCCCCGAAAGGGGUGCUAAUACCGGAUAAUGUCUUCGGACCAAAGAUUUAUCGCCUUUGGAUGGGCCCGCGUUGGAUUAGCUAGUUGGUAGGGUAAAAGCCUACCAAGGCGACGAUCCAUAGCUGGUCUGAGAGGAUGAUCAGCCACACUGGGACUGAGACACGGCCCAGACCCCCGCGGGAGGAUGCGGGGGGGAAUUUAGAAAAUGGGGAAAAGUCUUAACCAAGCAAUGCGGGGUGGGAGAUGAGGGCCUGGGGUUUAAAAGGUUUUUUUCCCCGGAGUAAUAAUAACAGCACGGGAAAAAAAAGCCCCGCCUACCUCCGUG